GUGACCCCAGGUCAGGCGGGGAC
RNAcentral lists this ribosomal RNA (23 nucleotides) under Gagea pauciflora. RNAcentral describes it as "partial 26S ribosomal RNA". Lineage: Eukaryota; Viridiplantae; Streptophyta; Magnoliopsida; Liliales; Liliaceae. The record is from RNAcentral. RNAcentral also lists the same sequence under 3 other names.